GCUGGGCGCGAUGGCGCACGCCUGUAAUCCCAGAGCCUGAGGAGGCUUGAGGCAGGAGGAUUAUGGGUUCAAAACCAGCAACUCAGUGAGACCCUAUCUCUA
This 102-nucleotide small RNA is filed under the name Marmota monax (woodchuck). Lineage: Eukaryota; Metazoa; Chordata; Mammalia; Rodentia; Sciuridae. The record is from RNAcentral.